UGCCAGCCGCCGCGGUAAUACGGAGGGUGCAAGCGUUGUUCGGAAUUACUGGGCGUAAAGCGCGCGUAGGCGGCUAUUUAAGUCAGAUGUGAAAGUCCACGGCUCAACCGUGGAAGUGCAUUUGAAACUGGAUGGCUUGAGUACUGGAGGGGGAAGUGGAAUUUCAGGUGUAGUGGUGAAAUGCGUAGAUAUCUGAAGGAACACCAGUGGCGAAGGCGACUUUCUGGACAGAUACUGACACUGAGGUGCGAAAGCGUGGGGAGCAAACAGGAUUAGAUA
RNAcentral lists this ribosomal RNA (279 nucleotides) under uncultured bacterium. RNAcentral's name for it is "partial 16S ribosomal RNA". It matches the Rfam family "Bacterial small subunit ribosomal RNA", at positions 506 to 784 of the family's 1533-position model. The record is from RNAcentral.